This 565-nucleotide long non-coding RNA is filed under the name Rattus norvegicus (Norway rat). RNAcentral describes it as "long non-coding RNA NONRATT025241". Lineage: Eukaryota; Metazoa; Chordata; Mammalia; Rodentia; Muridae. The record is from RNAcentral.
CCAACUGGCAUUUAAGUUAAGAUUACAGAGGAGCCCUUUAUCUGAGGCUUUGAAUAAGCCUCGUGUGUACUUCAAGUGGUGCUUAAGACACAAAGUCCUAACACUUUGGCCCCAUGUCGUGUGGACCAGAAAAAGAAGGUUUAAGGGUCUCACAAAGAAACGCUUCAUUGAGAACUCAAGCAAGGGCUGCUUUACAGAGGGAACCGGGCCCGCGUGUGGUUCCACAUGGCCAACCGCAGCAUCUGGAAGAUUACAGCACUUUCUUCAGAGUGUGGAGUGUCCUCUUCAGCCAGGGCUGCUCCACCUCCCACCUUUGGAGGUGAGUUAUGUCAAAACACUGCAUCGGUCGUGCAGGGCCCAAGGCAGCAGGAAGAGGCAGAAGGCUAGAAAUAGUUUCAGCUUGGACCACAUUAAGGGCCUUCCACACUGAGACCAUCUUCUUCACAAAAUCUGCUUCUCCCAGGACCGUUUUGAUUUUAUUUUUUUUCCUGGAGUUGCUGAACUCCAGAAACAUCCCCCGUACCAUUUCCUAUUGGAGCAAUAAACGUAUCUGUUGCCUACGUCA